Molecule: long non-coding RNA, 5420 nt
Organism: Lagopus muta (rock ptarmigan)
Lineage: Eukaryota; Metazoa; Chordata; Aves; Galliformes; Phasianidae
Exons: 3
Source: RefSeq, a predicted model, not a curated record
GGGGUGGAACUGCCAGGAUAUGGGUCCGAAAGCCAGGACCAUGUCUGGGUGGAACCAGACUCCCUGCACUCAGCCCAAGGAUGUGGAAAAAGAGUGACAUCUGAAGUCCUAUUCAGCAAGUUCAACAUUUUAUGUUCUUCCUCUGUCCACAUAAGUAUUCUGACCUGGAAAUCCAACAUUUCACAUUGGAUAAUAACCAGAAUGCAGUGCAGCCCUAAACAGACAUCCCUUCCCACACUCUUUUUUUUGUUGUUUGUUUGUUUUGUGCCAAAUUUGUAAGUGCUGUCAGUCACCCUAAAUCAAAGCUUUCAUGCAAAUACGGGUUUGCCAGAAAAAUGUACCUGUGAUGAAUAUUAUCAGGCUGCCUGGGAGCCUGUCCCAGAUGGUCAGAAGGGCUGUUUGAGGGAUCUGGCUGGGGUACAUGAGAGACAGAGGGGUCUUGUCUCUACCUGAAGGAUGUGGCUGAGUGUUCUGGAUGGACAGUGUGUCUGUAUUGUUACUUGGAGUAACUGAGUGGCUGUUCUGGAUGCACAGAUGUGUAAUGUUUUACUUGAGGAAUCUGGGUGGGGGUACAAGAUAAAGUGUUUGUGCUUCAACUUGAGCAAUCUGAGUAGGGGUAUUUAAAGGACAGAAGGGCUAUACUGUUACUUGAGGGAUCUGAGUGGGAAUAGUGAACUAAUAGAGGAGCUGUUCUGUUGCUUGACAGAUCUCGAUGGGGCUGUAUGAUAGAAAAAGGGCACGUGUUGCUUCAUGUAUCUAGGUGGGGAUACAUGAUAGGAAGAGGAGACUUACAUCUGCUUGAGGGACAUGGGUGGGAGUUCACGAUGGACACAGGAGCUGCUGCUUGAGCAAUGUGGAUAAGGGCUCUGCACAGGGAGGGGAGUUGCUCCUUGAGUGAUCCAGGCUGGGAUACUGAAUGGACAGAAAAGAUUUAUUGCUCUAUUGGAGACCUGGUUGACUGUAUUGCAUGGAUAGAGGAGAUCUGUCAUGACCUGUGGUAUCUGGGUCAUGGUGCGGGAUGGAUAGAGGAGCCUUUAGCUAUUUGAGAGAACAGAUUGCCCUGAGAAAUACUGGAUGCCCUGUCCCUGGAUACAUCCAAAGUCAGGCUGGAGGAGCUCUGGUGGAGCUGUGGGGAUCCCUGCUUACUGCAGGGAAGUUGGGCCAGAUGUCCUUUAGGGAUCCUUUUCAACUCAGAAGAUUCUGUAAAAUAGUGGAUAUUGAAAGUCUUUAGAAAAAUAAUAGCUGCACUUAAAACCAAACAGAACCAUCCAACCAUCCAAACAAACAAACAAAUGAAAAAAAACAACACCCAAACACCAAACUACAAACUAAAUCAAAACAAAACAGAAUAAAACUAAGCAAACAUUCACAUGAGGAAAAGUGACUAGAAUCAAACUCCCAAGAUGCAGGAAUAGUCCAAUCAUCAUUCCCUAAUGGACCUGAACUUAAGUGCACACACUGAUACCCACUGACCGUAUACAAAGCUUAAGCCUAUCUUCUUUCAAAUGUUUCCCAACCUGCACGUUAUCUCCUCAGAUGAAGUCAUUUGUAUUAAGAGAAGAAAAAUGCAAGUGUCUGGAGGCCACCUUUAAUAAAGUGUUUGAUGUAGUGCCUUGCAAAAUCUUACCUGGCAAAUGAAUUCCAAUUGCAGUGGUUACAAGCUGAGACACCUGAUGGAAAAUUGGCUUAAGGUGGGUAAAUACUAAGCCAUGAUAAAGUACAGGGGGCCAUGUGAGGAGGGGGGUGUCCAGAAGGUGCCACGGCAAUCGAUGUUUCAGCUGGUUUCGUUUAACAUCUUUAUUAAUGAUAGGGAGGGAGAAGUAAACAACACAUUAAUAAUGUCCUGGGAUGAUACUAAGCAGCACAACUCCAUAGAAAGAAGAGUUGUUUGAUUUUUCUUGUCAAGGUCAAGGUGAAAUGAUUUUUGUUAUCGAGGGGUCGAGGCACAGGCACUGGGAGAGAGGAUUUUGGUGGGGAAAGGUGCUAAGUAGAGGAGCCCAGGCAGGAGGCAUAAGAUGAAUGUUGUGAGAUACUGAGGGAAAGCCCAUUUGGGACAAAUCCCAUGCUCUUUGGGAACCUCUGUUUUGUCCUAGGAAGGGUCUCUAAUAUGCAUGUCCAACAGGCAGUACAAAUCAGCAGCUUCACCUUCACAGCUAAAUGCUUCCCUCAAGACACCAAACUCCUCAAGGAAGUUUUAGGCAAAUGUUUAAUGUUAGAGAUAUUUCCUCUUGACCUCAAAAGUACUGUAUGGAGGAAAAAGAGAGCUCUGCCAGUAAGAGGGGCAGAUAAGUAAGUGUGAAGCGAUCAGCAAGAUCACGGCUGUGGAAAUUGGUGAUUGAUUGAUAUCAGCAAUCACGUUUGAUGUCAUUUGUGGCACCUUUCAAAGAACAGCCCUGAGUGCAAAAAUGUAAUACACACAUAAGCUCAUUGCUUCAGAAGGACUGGUUUUACACAUCUUGAGGAAAUUAUCAGCAAAACUGUUUUGGAGGAACAUGAGGGCAGGUAAAUGAGAUGUUGAAUUUUGAACAAGUGGAGGCAGGGCAGGAAAGAGUUGCAAGAAUGUCUGCGGAGCUGGAAGAAAAAACAGCCUUGCAAUGAGAGGCUUAGAAGUCUGUUCAACUCAUCAAAUAGAAGUUUGAGAUUUAACUGAUUGCAGUGUGUAAGUACCUUCCCAGAAAAUACAAGGUGCGAAAGGCUGUUCAAUCACAUGGAGAAAGGCACACAAGAACCACAGCUGGAAAUUAAGGUCAGACAGAUUCCAGCAACAAUUCAGGCACAGAUUUGUGGCAGAAAAUGUGACCAGACAAUCAGAGAAAACCCCAGAGAUGUGGUAACUUCUGGGACGUGGUGAUUCAUCACAUCUCUGGAACAAGGGUUGUCUUCCUUUCAGAUGGUCUGGUCAAAUCAAUGUGGUUCCUGACAAGAGUGGGGCAUAACAGAUAAACUGUAGGCUUUUUCCAGAAUUGCUUGGCUGAAAAGGGAUGUUUAAAUGCCUUAUGCUCCAUCUUAUUUCCUUUCAUUCCACAACUACUGCUGUAUCUGCUAAGCUUUUUAUUAUAUUCUCUCUACAACCUUAAUUCUGGGAUCUGCAUUACUCUCCAUUUGUCCCGUCUAGAUUCUGUGGGGUAUUUGCGUUUGUGAUGUUUGCCAUUCCAGCAUCUGUAAUUACCUCACAUUCCUGUCUGUCAUUUCAAAGCACAGUCUGUUGCUCCUAAUGCAUUUCCACACCUGUGGUUAAGAUCUAUAUAGAGCAGCUCCUGUUUUAUUCCCAUACCUGCAGGAACCUCUUAUAGAACGAAGCUUACACUGUGCUCCCUUUUAGGAAUAUUUUACUCCUCUCUGUGCUUGUUAAACAUGUUUCUGGUCAUGAAUCUAGCAUCUUUUUCAGCAGCAGAGCUUUGUCUUCUCUUAAGCUGAGGCAACCUGGUAUCAAGAGCAUGGAACACAUCUCCUGAGAGGUAUUCUUGCCAGCUCAAGCCAAAGGUAAAUGCAUCCAGACUUAAAACUGAAAGAGGGGCUCAAAUGGUGCCAGGAAACAGUGGAUAUCAGGUGCUGGGAAUCCAGAAAGAAGGCAAGGCAAUGGGGGUUCCUCUUCCUGUUGUUUUGUUACAAAGGUAAGGCCAAGAAGAAAGGAUCCUGACAUUGCAAUGGGUUAGGGAGAUAGCUGAAUGUGCCACCUGCUUACACACAGGUCUUGUGCAAGUUGAUGUUUGGAUCACAUUGCUUCUGUGGCCUGUGCCUGUGGGAUGGGAAGAAAUGGGCAAGCAUGAUGAAAGGUCUGAAGGAAAGGCCCUAAAGAGAAAUAACGGGGACAUGCCUGCCUGGAAGAAUUUGAAAGGAAACAGAAGAGAUACAUUAGCCUGAGGAAUUGCCUCCUUGGUCAUGGCAUGAGAAUAUGGUUAUGCAAGACUGACACCACAGGCCUGUGAGCUCUAAGAGAAAAGGAAGAAAAAUAGGUUAUCAGAAGAAGUCAACGUGGAUUCACACAGAAGAAGUCAUGGUUGGCCAACCUGGUAGCCUUCUAUGAUGUCAUGACCACCUGAGUAUGUGGGGGAGAGAAAUGGAUGUUGUGUACCUUGACUUCAGCAAGGUGUUUGACACUGUCCCCACAACGGUGAUGUGAGUAAGCUUAGGAGGUGUGGGACAGACAAAUACUAGAUUGAUAACUGGAUGACUGGCAGAGCUCUGAGGAAUGUGAGGGUGACAGAGCACUGGAACAGGUUGCCCAGAGAGAAUGUGGAGUCUCCUUCUCUGGAGAUGUUCAAAACUCACCUGGACACUUUUCUGUGCGAUCUACCAUAGGAAACCUGCAUUAGUAGAGGGUGUGGUUGGAAGAUCUCUAAAGGUCUUCCAAUUUUCUGUGAUUCCAUAAAUGUCCUGUGGAGGAAUUGGCUUCUUGGAGCCAUGCCAAAUUUGAGUUAUCUCAGCACUGCCAUCAUCCACACACAUCUAUGCUCUUGGUUGCUCUGUAUACCUCUAGGACCCCAAGGAUCUCUCCCUGCACAGAUUGGUGUCUUAUUCCACAUAAUGCUCCUCCAGUGUGAUUACCCCUGGAUAGCUUUCAUCUCAGCUGCUCAGAUGCCGUUAGUGAUGGAGACAGACAAGAAGGAGAGGGUUCCCCAAAGACCCCAGGACCCCUUACACACUGAUGUCUUCACCAGUGCCUCUGCACCAUGGUGGGUACCAAGGACAGGAUGUCACAGCUAAUUAGAUCACGACCGAGGUAAUAAAAUCAUGUCCAGCCCUGCUGGAUCUCCAAGUUCUGCUGUGCCCUCCUGGUCCCUCUGUUUUCCCUACCAGGUUUCUCCUGCAAGAUGUUGGCUUCAUGUCUUUCCUUUGUCAUUCAUCACCCGCUAAGGCAGCCUUUUGGACUGUUUUGGCCAGAGGUGACCAUGCCUCCAGUGUAGACCUGGGGACUGCCAUCUGGCUAUUGCUACCACCAUUUUGCCAGCAGGCUGAAGUUAUUUGGCAAAAUUGAUGAAAAUAUCAGAAGUACCUCCAUCAGCUAAAGCUGUAUUUUUGGAAGGAAAAGAAGAAGAAGUUUCAAAAGAAAAAAGUCAUCUACUUCAACUCAGAAUGGAGGCAAUUUUGGCAUUGUGUAAGAGACUCCAGGAGACAUGCAUUCUCCUAAAUAAGAAAGGAAGGAUCAAAGUUACAGAGACACAGAUCAGCUUCCCUUUCUUUUUUUCCUUCUUUCUUUAAUAUUUGAGAACUAGAGUUGUCUGGGACUUCUUCAAGCUGAAGACUAAUUGAGGACAAGGAGCUGUAACCCUGUAGAGCUGAAAGCUCUCUGCCCCAACCAGUGAAUUAGGACUCGGUGUAACACUGAAGGUAUGACUGAGGAGAGGUAAGACAGGAGUCCAGCCACUCUAAAACGCAUCAUGCACAAGUUGUCUGGGAACAGAUCUUCUGCCUUUUCC